This 369-nucleotide ribosomal RNA is filed under the name uncultured eukaryote. RNAcentral's name for it is "partial 18S ribosomal RNA". It matches the Rfam family "Eukaryotic small subunit ribosomal RNA", at positions 592 to 976 of the family's 1831-position model. The record is from RNAcentral.
CAAUAGCGUAUAUUAAAGUUGUUGCAGUUAAAAGCUCGUAGUUGGAUUUCUGGUCGGAAGCUCCUGUCCUCUGAUGAGCGUACAAGUGCGUCCUACCAUCCUUCUGUUAACCUUUAAGGCUUUCGCGGCUUUCUAGGGGCUCAGAUAUUUUACCUUGAGAAAAUUAGAGUGUUUCAGGCAGGCUAGCGCCGGAAUACAUUAGCAUGGAAUAAUGGAAUAGGACUUUUGCCUCUUCUGUUGGUCAUGAGGCUCGAGUAAUGAUUAAUAGGGAUAGUUGGGGGCAUUAGUACUUAACUGUCAGAGGUGAAAUUCUCGGAUUUGUUAAAGACUAACUUAUGCGAAANCANNNGCCAAGGAUGUUUUCAUNAA